ACGAACGCUGGCGGCGUGCUUAACACAUGCAAGUCGAACGAAGAGCGAUGGAAGCUUGCUUCUAUCAAUCUUAGUGGCGAACGGGUGAGUAACGCGUAAUCAACCUGCCCUUCAGAGGGGGACAACAGUUGGAAACGACUGCUAAUACCGCAUACGAUCUAAUCUCGGCAUCGAGGAUAGAUGAAAGGUGGCCUCUACAUGUAAGCUAUCACUGAAGGAGGGGAUUGCGUCUGAUUAGCUAGUUGGAGGGGUAACGGCCCACCAAGGCGAUGAUCAGUAGCCGGUCUGAGAGGAUGAACGGCCACAUUGGGACUGAGACACGGCCCAGACUCCUACGGGAGGCAGCAGUGGGGAAUCUUCCGCAAUGGACGAAAGUCUGACGGAGCAACGCCGCGUGAGCGAUGACGGCCUUCGGGUUGUAAAGCUCUGUUAAUCGGGACGAAAGGCCUUCUUGCGAAUAGUGAGAAGGAUUGACGGUACCGGAAGAGAAAGCCACGGCUAACUACGUG
RNAcentral lists this ribosomal RNA (509 nucleotides) under uncultured bacterium. RNAcentral's name for it is "partial 16S ribosomal RNA". It matches the Rfam family "Bacterial small subunit ribosomal RNA", at positions 29 to 507 of the family's 1533-position model. The record is from RNAcentral.